UACGAAGGGGGCUAGCGUUGCUCGGAAUCACUGGGCGUAAAGGGUGCGUAGGCGGGUCUUAAGUCAGGGGUGAAAUCCUGGAGCUCAACUCCAGAACUGCCUUUGAUACUGAGGAUCUUGAGUUCGGGAGAGGUGAGUGGAACUGCGAGUGUAGAGGUGAAAUUCGUAGAUAUUCGGAAGAACACCAGUGGCGAAGGCGGCUCACUGGCCCGGUACUGACGCUGAGAUACGAAAGCGUGGGGAGCAAACAGG
RNAcentral lists this ribosomal RNA (252 nucleotides) under uncultured bacterium. RNAcentral's name for it is "partial 16S ribosomal RNA". It matches the Rfam family "Bacterial small subunit ribosomal RNA", at positions 524 to 776 of the family's 1533-position model. The record is from RNAcentral.